This 4731-nucleotide long non-coding RNA is filed under the name Brassica rapa (field mustard). RNAcentral describes it as "long non-coding RNA (BRAP_LNC008052)". Lineage: Eukaryota; Viridiplantae; Streptophyta; Magnoliopsida; Brassicales; Brassicaceae. The record is from RNAcentral.
UGUUGGAAUGAAGAAGCAAGAAGCGCAAGCUGAGAAGUGAGUGCAAGAGAAGCCUUGAGAAUGCACAUGGAAGAUCAUGAAAUGUGCAAUGUCCGGGACUGCCUUGAAUCACCCAAAAAGAAGAGAUGUGCAAAAUCUGUGCAAGAGAGUACGAAUCAUGUUGGUGCAAAGAUAGGGAGGGAGUCCCUGGCGCCAAGAAUCUUCUUCAGAAAGUGAUGUGUGCAAAUUGGCGCCUAGACAUCAAGUUUGAAUUCAAAUCAGAUCAGAAGUCACAUGCCAGCUUAAGGACCAAAGAGCUGUUAGGAUAUGUCACUUUCUCUCAUGCUGGACGUGCCAUUCUCUCUCUCCAGCCAGUCUGCCCUUCUGAUUUGCCCAGGAUAAUAUUAUUUAUUCAUUCCCUGAAAUAUUCUUUGUUUAUUGUCUUGUUUGUCUUGUUGUAAAGGCUUUAAAGCCACCCCAUUGUAACCAUUACGAAAUUAAGCUGAAUGGGGGAGUUUCCCCUUUCUUCUUCACCAUUCUCAAGUCUCUUAUACUCUCCCUAAUCUCUGGUUACAAGAAUCUCUCUCAUACUCUCUCAAAUCUCACUUAAUCUCUCUUUUGCUCCAUUGCAGUCUCUUUAAUUCUCACUUACUGUCUUCACUCUGUUCUCUUUCAAUCCGACCACUCUCUGUUCUCAACAACACUCACACACCAUAAUCUGUCUAUUCUUCAUGGUAUCAGAGCUCCAAGCUCCUGAGAAUCCAUAAAGCUUCCGCAAAUCUGUUACAGUUCAUACUUCUCUUCAAAAAUCUCUGUUUCUGUUCAUCCUUGUAUCCUCUGGUCUAAAGCUUUUCCAGGAGGGAAGAGACUCACCAGAACUCAAGAUAAAGGAGGUCUUUAGUAUCUGAAACUCAAAGCUUCCACAAUUCAAGCAUAGGCUCAUCCUCAUUGUUAUUUCAAAUCAUUGGAGAGUUUCUGUCCAGCCAGCUGUUCAAUCUCUUCAAGAGGAAGAAGACUAAACAUGGCGUGUCCAGAGACUUCCCAAGGUCUAUCAUCCUUUCUCCUGUUCAGCCUGAAGAGAUCUCUUGGAGAAAGAAGGUUUUGGAGCUGUUUGGCAAGCAAUGCUCCAAACCAAGUCUGUACAAGUGAUUUUCAAGUUCUUCCCAAAAUGGAGUCUCUCACUGUGUGCCAGAAGGUGGCGCCUGGUAAUCAGGAAGAAAGGAGGGGUCUUAAGCAUGAGUGGUCUAAAGGGAAAGCACACACAAGGAAAUGGCGUGGGGUAGAGAUCCCAAACUCCAAAUCUGUCAAGUUCAAGUGAACAGUGUGCCUUGGAGGUUCAAGGAACCAGCUCAGGUUCCUUGUUUGUAAGUUAACCUCCUACCUUUAAUAAGAGCUUGAGUAGUUAUGUCUGGUUGUGUUGAGUGGUGUGUUUGGUAUCCUUGGGACAGGUUCAAGUUGCUAGAGUUGUUGAACCUAGUUUCUGUCCCAUGAUACUUAAAUUGUGUGUGUUGCUCUGUUUCUUAAAUUAUUUCUAGGAGUUGUCUAGCAUGGUAUUGUUUAGUUCCUGUCCUAGAUUAAUUGUUUCUGUUUGUAUUGUGCUAGGCGAUUGGUUAGCUACUGUCAUUGUCUUGUUGCAUUGAUAAAGGUCUAGGAGAGCCUCCUGAUCUUGUAUUGCAUUAUAUAUAUUGUUCAAGAUGAUUAGAUGAGUUGUUUAGUCUCUGUUUAUUGUCUUUAAAAUUCAUAAAAAGAGCCUAAUUGCCUUGUUAUUGAUGAGUUAUCAUACCUGAGCAGUUAGUGAUGUUAGUAUGCAUGGAGUUGAACUGAAUGAGUUGUUUAGAUUCUGUUCAUUGCAUAUUUAUUUUUAAAACAUUGGGAUCAGACUUGGUGAAUUAUCAAGGGCUGAUCCUAGUGUGUGUGGUCUGAUUCUUGCUGGAGUUUGAGUGAUGUUUCAGGUACACAAGAGGUGAUCUCUGUCCAUCAUCAAACUAAGACAAAGAAGAAGGCAUUGCCCACGUUUUACAGAGCCUCCCAAGAUGGAUAUUCCUGAACCGUGGAGAUUGCCCAGUCCCAAAUCCUAUCUAUGUGUCUGCCCAUUUCCUACCCUGAAGAUAGAAAGGAUGUUGGAGAAUUGGAGAAACUGCUCAGAAGUGACUUACCUGAUGCCAAGAGGAUGUACAGGAGGUGCACUCAAGAGAAAAGGCCAUCACUAAGCCAAGAGUGGCCGGUGGUCAGAGGCAUGGAUCAAGGUGUUUAGUCCUGACCAUGUAAAGAUACCUUGUGAGUAGAACCAGUUGGCUUAAGCGCAGGCGUAGGAGCUGUUGUGCUCCUGGUUCAAGAGACUCAUAAGGAAGGUCAUCACCUAAGUCAUGGGGAGACUGGUGGCCUAAAGACAUUAGAGCUGAAGGAAAAUGGUGAUCCAGUUGGCUUAAGCGCAGAUGUUGGUAUUGUUGUGCUCCUGGAAGAUAGUGAACUGGUUGGCUUAAGCGCAGAUGUUGGUAUUGUUGUGCUCCCAGUUUCAAAACUCAUUGAAGCUCACAUUCAAGCUUGUCCCUAUACUCAGCCAAGCUUGAGGAGGGGAAUCAGUGAGCUACCAGAAGAUCCAUGAAGCUCCUAAGUGUCUCUUUUCCUCAUAGAAGGCCAGCAACAUCUAUGUGUCAAAAUAGAUGAUCAAGAAGAAGAGGUUGCAUGGCGAUUUAAUAAGGAGGGGCCUAAGUGAUCAGUCUGAAGAAGCUGGCACACCCCACCACUCUGACCAGCUAUAUUCAAGGACUCAAGGAGUAUUCAAUCAGGGAAAUUCUUGGCUAAGCAAUCACAUGAUGGUGGCAAAUUAUGGAGUUGAAAAGUGCUGAGCUUCCCUACAUGCUGAAACUUCAAGAGAAAAAUGCAAAGGCUGGUUGAGAGAAGGAAUGGCGUGGAGGAUUCAAGUGCUUAGCAAUCCUCACCAACAUUCAACAAACUGAUGCAAGGGAAGUACCUAAAACCAUUAUUAUUCUUAUGUGUGAAUAGGUUUGCCCCUUGAGAAUUGAUACAUGCAAUUUUUGGAUGAUUGAAUCAGGUACCUAUUGAGCUCAUGAACAAAGAAAAGCUUUGUCUCAACCCUUAAAUGGAGGCAAGAAGCCAAAAGAAAGGGGGAGACAAGCUCAGGUCAUAAGAAGAAGCUCAAAGGUGAUUUGACAGUGAAGCAACUGGCGCCAAUCCAAGUCGUUCAUUGCCUCACCUCUGAUCAAAAUUGGAGUUUGCAAGUGGUGGAUUCACUCUUGCAUUACUCAGUACCAACCGGGUCAAAGAAGCUCAGUUCCAAGUGUGUGAUUGAACUUCCAUAAUCCGGACUGUGUCUUACCAAGUGUGGAUUCAAUUGGAGUCCACUCCUGGCCAUUCUUAUAAAAGGGAAGCACCUUAAACUCAUCUCAAUACAUUCAUGAUUGUCCUUAUACUUAAACUAUUAUUGAGUUUGAUGUGAUGAGUGCAUUUCCUUAAGAACUGAUGCACUUUUGAAAUGAUGCAUCAGGUACCAAAAUAAGCUUGAGCCUCACUGAAGAUGAUGAUGAUGAUCCGGUCAUGUCCUAGCAUUUCUAAGAUGGCCAAAGAAGUCAGUCUAGAGGGGGAGAUCCUAACCGAGUCUAUGGUUCCAUGAAGAGGUCAAGCCAAGUUCUAAAGAACAAGUAACUUUGCUGGGGGUUCAGAGAAGAUGGUCUGGUCGUUUCCUUGCCUUCCUAAGGUGGCUUGAAGCCAGUUGAGAGGGGGAGACCCUAAACCGGACACAAAAUGAUCCAGCCGGCUACUUGUGCUCAAGGAUAGCAAGUUAUGGUGAUUCAUACUUGCUAUACCUAUUAGGCCACGAUCCAGAGCCUAAGGACUCCACCAUGAUGAAUCUGAAGUUCCUUAGGCUCACUGGCCAAUCCCUAAGCUUUGUGGAAACUCCACUCUUUUUCCCUUAGCAAGUUUUGUCCCAAUGGGUUUUCUUGCUAAGGUUUUUAAUGAGGGAGCUUCUUCAAGGUUCCAAGCUUGUCCAAGGAUCUCAUAUGGUCAAGCUUGAGGGGGAGUGUUGGAAUGAAGAAGCAAGAAGCGCAAGCUGAGAAGUGAGUGCAAGAGAAGCCUUGAGAAUGCACAUGGAAGAUCAUGAAAUGUGCAAUGUCCGGGACUGCCUUGAAUCACCCAAAAAGAAGAGAUGUGCAAAAUCUGUGCAAGAGAGUACGAAUCAUGUUGGUGCAAAGAUAGGGAGGGAGUCCCUGGCGCCAAGAAUCUUCUUCAGAAAGUGAUGUGUGCAAAUUGGCGCCUAGACAUCAAGUUUGAAUUCAAAUCAGAUCAGAAGUCACAUGCCAGCUUAAGGACCAAAGAGCUGUUAGGAUAUGUCACUUUCUCUCAUGCUGGACGUGCCAUUCUCUCUCUCCAGCCAGUCUGCCCUUCUGAUUUGCCCAGGAUAAUAUUAUUUAUUCAUUCCCUGAAAUAUUCUUUGUUUAUUGUCUUGUUUGUCUUGUUGUAAAGGCUUUAAAGCCACCCCAUUGUAACCAUUACGAAAUUAAGCUGAAUGGGGGAGUUUCCCCUUUCUUCUUCACCAUUCUCAAGUCUCUUAUACUCUCCCUAAUCUCUGGUUACAAGAAUCUCUCUCAUACUCUCUCAAAUCUCACUUAAUCUCUCUUUUGCUCCAUUGCAGUCUCUUUAAUUCUCACUUACUGUCUUCACUCUGUUCUCUUUCAAUCCGACCACUCUCUGUUCUCAACAACACUCACACACCAUAAUCUGUCUAUUCUU